This 416-nucleotide long non-coding RNA is filed under the name Homo sapiens (human). RNAcentral describes it as "non-protein coding lnc-ZFP3-1:1". The record is from RNAcentral. Lineage: Eukaryota; Metazoa; Chordata; Mammalia; Primates; Hominidae.
AGUCCAUAACGCUAUACUCUAAUCAGAGAAUUCAUAUUAUGGAAGAAUCCUAAAGACUUAUGAAUGUAAUAAAUGUGGGAACAUUUUUUUGAGACAGAGUCUUGCUCUGUCUCAACUUGUUCAACAUCAGAUAAUUCAUUUGGGGGGAAAACCCUGUAAGGGCGUCGAGUGUGGAAGAGCCUUCAGCUAGAGCUUAGGUCUUACUGAACAUCACACAAUUCACAUUGGAAAAAAACCCUGUGAAAGUGAAAUCCUUUGAAUGUAAAGACUGCAGGAAAGCCUUUCCUCAGAAUCCUCAUCUUAUUCUACAUCACCGAAUUUGCUCAGGAGAGAAAUCCCAUAAUUUAUUGAAUGUGGUCAGCCUUUAAUCAGAGCUCAAAUCUUCGUCCACAUCAAAGAAUUACCUCUGGGGAGAA